RNAcentral lists this small nucleolar RNA (107 nucleotides) under Arabidopsis thaliana (thale cress). Its description in RNAcentral is "Plant small nucleolar RNA R71". It matches the Rfam family "Plant small nucleolar RNA R71". Rfam says of the family: R71 is a member of the C/D box family of snoRNAs containing the C (UGAUGA) and D (CUGA) box motifs. Multiple nearly identical copies of this snoRNA have been identified in Arabidopsis, and it is thought to function as a 2'-O-ribose methylation guide for 18S ribosomal RNA. Lineage: Eukaryota; Viridiplantae; Streptophyta; Magnoliopsida; Brassicales; Brassicaceae. The record is from Rfam by way of RNAcentral.
AAGCAAUGAUGAGGGCAUUGGUUGAUGUAACCUCUGAAACGCUCCCAUGCUUCAUAGAAGCUUUCACCCGUCUUCUGUGAAAAAUCAGAAAUCUUAUUUCUGAGUUU